AGAGUUGAUCAUGGCUCAGGAUGAACGCUAGCUACAGGCUUAACACAUGCAAGUCGAGGGGCAGCAUGAACUUAGCUGCUAAGUUGAUGGCGACCGGCGCACGGGUGAGUAACGCGUAUCCAACCUGGCCCUUAGUAGGGGAUAGCCCGGCGAAAGUCGGAUUAAUACCCUAUGUUUUUCCUUUGAUGGCAUCCGAUGAGGAACAAAGAUUCAUCGCUAAGGGAUGGGGAUGCGUCCGAUUAGGUUGACGGCGGGGUGACGGCCCACCGUGCCCGCGAUCGGUAGGGGUUCUGAGAGGAAGGUCCCCCACAUUGGAACUGAGACACGGUCCAAACUCCUACGGGAGGCAGCAGUGAGGAAUAUUGGUCAAUGGAGGCAACUCUGAACCAGCCAAGUAGCGUGAGGGAUGACGGCCCUACGGGUUGUAAACCUCUUUUGCAGGGGAAUAAAGUGUGCCACGUGUGGUGUUUUGUAUGUACCCUGAGAAUAAGGACCGGCUAAUUCCGUGCCAGCAGCUGC
RNAcentral lists this ribosomal RNA (519 nucleotides) under uncultured bacterium. RNAcentral's name for it is "bacterial SSU rRNA". It matches the Rfam family "Bacterial small subunit ribosomal RNA", at positions 8 to 518 of the family's 1533-position model. The record is from RNAcentral.